CGCACGGGUGAGUAACACGUGAGUGACCUGCCUUUUAGACUGGAACAACUUACCGAAAGGUGAGCUAAUGCCGGAUGAGUUAUAUAAGUGCAUGUUUAUAUAGGAAAAGUUGGGGAGACCUGACGCUGAAAGACGGACUCGCGUCCCAUUAGCUAGUUGGUAGGGUAAUGGCCUACCAAGGCGACGAUGGGUAGCCGGCCUGAGAGGGUGGCCGGCCACACUGGGACUGAGACACGGCCCAGACUCCUACGGGAGGCAGCAG
This 262-nucleotide ribosomal RNA is filed under the name uncultured bacterium. Its description in RNAcentral is "partial 16S ribosomal RNA". It matches the Rfam family "Bacterial small subunit ribosomal RNA", at positions 99 to 354 of the family's 1533-position model. The record is from RNAcentral.